Molecule: ribosomal RNA, 502 nt
Filed under: uncultured bacterium
Lineage: Bacteria
Description: partial 16S ribosomal RNA
Rfam family: Bacterial small subunit ribosomal RNA
Source: RNAcentral
ACUCAAAUGAAUUGACGGGGGCCCGCACAAGCGGUGGAACAUGUGGUUUAAUUCGACGCAACGCGAAGAACCUUACCUGGGCUUGAACUACGGAUGGUAGGCUGUUGGAAACAGUGGCCGACCCGCAAGGGAGUCCGCAGAGGUGCUGCAUGGUUGUCGUCAGCUCGUGUCGUGAGAUGUUGGGUUAAGUCCCGCAACGAGCGCAACCCCUAUCCGAUGUUGCUACUCCCGCAAGGGAGGCACUCUUCGGAAACUGCCUUCGAUAAGAAGGAGGAAGGUGGGGAUGACGUCAAAUCCUCAUGGCCCUUAUGUCCAGGGCUACACACGUGUUACAAUGGCCGGUACAGAGGGAAGCAAUACCGUAAGGUGGAGCCAAACCCACAAAGCCGGCCCCAGUUCAGAUUGUGGGCUGCAACUCGCCCACAUGAAGGCGGAAUCGCUAGUAAUCGCUGAUCAGCAGGCAGCGGUGAAUACGUUCCCGGGCCUUGUACACACCGCCCGU